Long non-coding RNA from Carassius auratus (goldfish), 470 nucleotides. RefSeq lists it as uncharacterized. The transcript has 3 exons. The record is from RefSeq and is a predicted model, not a curated record. Lineage: Eukaryota; Metazoa; Chordata; Actinopteri; Cypriniformes; Cyprinidae.
GCCUACCUUUAUUUUGCAUAGUGCUGAUUCCUUCUGCUGCUGGAUCUCUGUUGAUUGUUUCAGUCGUCAUCUGCUGCAUUUGCAAAAAAUGUAGAAAAACAGCUCUGACCAAAGAGGAAGACAGAACUGAUUCAGCAUUGUGUAAACCAGCAACAAAGAACAUGAAACCAAAGACUGAGGCUGUAUAUGGAAAUGUCCAUAAAAAACACUGAUCAAAUAUUGGAAUUUUUAUCAGAAGUUAUACAGGACAAUACUUUACACCUUUUCAUUCACAUUCAUUUUCCUCGGGGAUGUCACUAUUUGUCUGUGUCAUAUCUUUUGGUGUUACUGUGAUGGCUAAAAUCUUAUUUUAAUUAAAUUAGGGAUUUACCAAUAGCAUAUCACCAAUAAACUCAACUAACAUGUUCUUAUUAAGCCUAUCAUCACAUGGAAAUGUUGGUAACGUUCAUUAUUAAAUCUUAAUCAUACCU